Molecule: ribosomal RNA, 486 nt
Filed under: uncultured Desulfovibrio sp.
Lineage: Bacteria; Pseudomonadati; Thermodesulfobacteriota; Desulfovibrionia; Desulfovibrionales; Desulfovibrionaceae
Description: bacterial SSU rRNA
Rfam family: Bacterial small subunit ribosomal RNA
Source: RNAcentral
AACUUAAAGGAAUUGACGGGGGCCCGCACAAGCGGUGGAGUAUGUGGUUUAAUUCGAUGCAACGCGAAGAACCUUACCUAGGUUUGACAUCCGGAAGACCUUCCCGAAAAGGAAGGGUGCCCUUCGGGGAAUUCCGAGACAGGUGCUGCAUGGCUGUCGUCAGCUCGUGCCGUGAGGUGUUGGGUUAAGUCCCGCAACGAGCGCAACCCUAUUGCCAGUUGCUACCAGGUAAUGCUGGGCACUCUGGUGAGACUGCCCCGGUUAACGGGGAGGAAGGUGGGGACGACGUCAAGUCAUCAUGGCCCUUACGCCUAGGGCUACACACGUACUACAAUGGCGCAUACAAAGGGCAGCGAUACCGCGAGGUGGAGCCAAUCCCAAAAAGUGCGUCCCAGUCCGGAUUGCAGUCUGCAACUCGACUGCAUGAAGUUGGAAUCGCUAGUAAUUCGAGAUCAGCAUGCUCGGGUGAAUGCGUUCCCGGGCCUU